UACAGAGGUCCCAAGCGUUGUUCGGAUUCAUUGGGCGUAAAGGGUGCGUAGGCGGCGCGGUAAGUCGGGUGUGAAAUCUCGGGGCUUAACUCCGAAACUGCAUUCGAUACUGCCGUGCUUGAGGACUUGAGAGGAGACUGGAAUUUACGGUGUAGCGGUGAAAUGCGUAGAUAUCAGGAGGAACACCGGUGGCGAAGGCGGCUCUCUGGACGGUGACUGACGCUGAGACGCGAAAGCGUGGGGAGCAAACAGG
RNAcentral lists this ribosomal RNA (253 nucleotides) under uncultured bacterium. RNAcentral describes it as "partial 16S ribosomal RNA". It matches the Rfam family "Bacterial small subunit ribosomal RNA", at positions 524 to 776 of the family's 1533-position model. The record is from RNAcentral.